CCUACGGGAGGCAGCAGUGGGGAAUAUUGCACAAUGGGGGAAACCCUGAUGCAGCGACGCCGCGUGAGUGAAGAAGUAAUUCGUUACGUAAAGCUCUAUCAGCAGGGAAGAAACACUGACCUUACGGUCAGCAGACGGUACCUGAGUAAGCAGCCCCGGCUAACUACGUGCCAGCAGCCGCGGUAAUACGUAGGGGGCAAGCGUUAUCCGGAUUUACUGGGUGUAAAGGGAGAGUAGACGGUGCGCCAAGUCUGGUGUGAAAUGCCGAAGCUUAACUGCGGAACUGCUUUGGAAACUGGCGAACUAGAGUGCGGGAGGGGUAAGCGGAAUUCCUAGUGUAGCGGUGAAAUGCGUAGAUAUUAGGAGGAACACCGGUGGCGAAGGCGGCUUACUGGACCGUAACUGACGUUGAGGCUCGAAAGCGUGGGGAGCAAACAGGAUUAGAUACCCGUGUAGUC
RNAcentral lists this ribosomal RNA (458 nucleotides) under uncultured bacterium. RNAcentral's name for it is "partial 16S ribosomal RNA". It matches the Rfam family "Bacterial small subunit ribosomal RNA", at positions 338 to 795 of the family's 1533-position model. The record is from RNAcentral.